UUCAGAAGAAACACUAUGGCCAUGAAUGGCUGAUGCACUAUUUGCUUCCAUGGAAAUCAUUUCAAAGUCUCUGUCAGAAGAACUGAAUGAUUGCCUGCUUUGAUGAAAGUCAGACCAGAAAGAAUGUCCUUUCUGUUGGCUCCAAAAAGGACUUUGUCCAAACCUCCUCUGUUCUCCGCUUCGUCCAAAGGUUGCUACAAUAUUUCCAGCUGUGUAUACCUCCUGGGAUCAUAAUAGAAAUGAGCCUCUACUCGCCCUGAAUUCCUUCUUGUGCGAGAUCCAAGAACCCUCUCUUGGGGUUCUAGAUCCAGACCUUUUUCUGGUAACAUCUUCCUGGCCACCACGGAAGGAACAAUACUAAGGAAACCUUCCAACCAAAGGCUAACUUUGGAGCACUGAGUGUGCCAGUCAAGCCCUUGAUGGCUUCAGCAAGUAGAAACCUGACUGCUGCCUGCAGAGGAUGACUGUGUGUCCCUGGGCCAUUUGUCAGUCCCUCCCAGGGUGCUUGUAGGUAAGGAGGAGCUCCUGAAUCACAGUCCAUUUUGCAGAUUGAUUUUCUAUUUCAGAUCAACACUGCCAAAGAAAGUUAGGUUCUACCUGAGAUUAUAAGCCCUUCAUAAUGUAUGACCUGAUUUAUAUCACCUCCUCAUAAUACAAUGCCCCCUUUAAUAAACACUUCUUCUCCCACAUAUAGGAUUCAUAUCCAAAUAUUUAGGUCACAUUCAAAUUUAAAAAUAAAAACAACAUGAUUUUAUAUUUCAUCUUCUGAAACCUCUUAGGAGCAAAAUC
Non-coding RNA from Macaca mulatta (Rhesus monkey), 789 nucleotides. The record is from RefSeq and is a predicted model, not a curated record. NCBI's taxonomy places the organism in Eukaryota, Metazoa, Chordata, Mammalia, Primates, Cercopithecidae.